RNAcentral lists this ribosomal RNA (235 nucleotides) under uncultured bacterium. RNAcentral's name for it is "partial 16S ribosomal RNA". It matches the Rfam family "Bacterial small subunit ribosomal RNA", at positions 96 to 334 of the family's 1533-position model. The record is from RNAcentral.
UGGCGGACGGGUGAGUAAUGUCUGGGAAACUGCCUGAUGGAGGGGGAUAACUACUGGAAACGGUAGCUAAUACCGCGUAACGUCGCAAGACCAAAGAGGGGGACCUUCGGGCCUCUUGCCAUCGGAUGUGCCCAGAUGGGAUUAGCUAGUAGGUGGGGUAAAGGCUCACCUAGGCGACGAUCCCUAGCUGGUCUGAGAGGAUGACCAGCCACACUGGAACUGAGACACGGUCCAG